AGUAAAAGUCGUAACAAGGUUUCCGUAGGUGAACCUGCGGAAGGAUCAUUAAAGUAUCUCCUCGGGAGGGAGGCGAGCCCUGCUCCGACCCUGUACCCUUUUUGGGGGGGUUGUGCAGCGGGCGAACCGACCGACCGAAACCUUACAAACCCCCUGUGCACUUCAGCGGCAGAGGGAUCCCUGGGCGAGAGCUCGGGGGACCCGAAACCGUUACCUUUACGAACACUAUUGAAAAGAAUGCGUUGCGGCCGUUGCGUCGCCUAACAAACGAAACAACUUUCAACAACGGAUCUCUUGGCUCUCGCAUCGAUGAAGAACGCAGCGAAAUGCGAUAAGUAAUGUGAAUUGCAGAAUUCAGUGAAUCAUCGAAUCUUUGAACGCACCUUGCGCUCCUUGGUAUUCCGAGGAGCAUGCCUGUUUGAGUGUCUUGAAGUCAUCAACCCGAACCGUUUUUCUUGAGCGGUCGGGGUUGGAGCUGGGGGACCUUUGCCGCUCGUCUCGGGCGGCUCCCCUCAAAUGCGUCGGUCGGGCCUGUGGGUCAAACUCGGCUGGGCGUUGUACCAUCCUCGCUCUAACGAGAAGGGCCCCUUUCCGUUGCCCCUCCUCAACCUGCCCCUCGUCAGGGUCGGCGGUCAACAAACAUUUGAAAUCUGACCUCAAAUCAGGUAGGACUACCCGCUGAACUUAAGCAUAUCAAUAAGCGGAGGA
This 708-nucleotide ribosomal RNA is filed under the name uncultured fungus. RNAcentral describes it as "eukaryotic LSU rRNA". The stretch from base 275 to 428 matches the Rfam family "5.8S ribosomal RNA". The record is from RNAcentral. Lineage: Eukaryota; Fungi.